RNAcentral lists this transfer RNA (61 nucleotides) under Ixodes scapularis (black-legged tick). It matches the Rfam family "tRNA". From Rfam's summary of the family: Transfer RNA (tRNA) molecules are approximately 80 nucleotides in length. Their secondary structure includes four short double-helical elements and three loops (D, anti-codon, and T loops). Further hydrogen bonds mediate the characteristic L-shaped molecular structure. tRNAs have two regions of fundamental functional importance: the anti-codon, which is responsible for specific mRNA codon recognition, and the 3' end, to which the tRNAs corresponding amino acid is attached (by aminoacyl-tRNA synthetases). tRNAs cope with the degeneracy of the genetic code in two manners: having more than one tRNA (with a specific anti-codon) for a particular amino acid; and 'wobble' base-pairing, i.e. permitting non-standard base-pairing at the 3rd anti-codon position. The record is from Rfam by way of RNAcentral. Lineage: Eukaryota; Metazoa; Arthropoda; Arachnida; Ixodida; Ixodidae.
GCAGUCAUGGCCGAGUGGUUAAGGUGGACUAGAAACACAGGUUCGAAUCCUGUCGACUGCG